Molecule: ribosomal RNA, 2148 nt
Filed under: Triticum aestivum (bread wheat)
Lineage: Eukaryota; Viridiplantae; Streptophyta; Magnoliopsida; Poales; Poaceae
Description: partial small subunit ribosomal RNA
Source: RNAcentral
AUGCUUCAUGCUUCAAAAUCUGAUGUAGUUGGCAUUUAUGGCAUUGCGGGGUCUGGGAAGACAACACUUGCACAAUAUGUUUGUAACGCCAUGAAAGAGGAAGAGGGAGAGAAAGAGGAAAGGAAACGCAAUUUCCACCUUUUUAUGUGGAUUCACGUCACCCAGAAGUUUAGCGUGCAUGCCAUUUUCAGUGAGAUGUUGGAAGCAGCUUCAGGUAAAAAGGCUGAAUAUACUAGCCUUGAUGUCCUGCAGACAAAACUAAAGAAUGAACUAAGUAAAAAAAUUCUAUUAGUACUUGAUGAUAUCUGGUGCAACAAAGAUCCCCAUGAGCAGAAUCUGCAACGGUUGAUGUUUCCAUUGCAAUUUGGGUUGGAAGGAAGCAAGAUCCUAGCCACAAGUCGAAAUAAAGAUGCAUUUGCCGAUCUAAGUCCUGGCCUGACAUGCAAUUCUGUUCCAAUACCUGACUUGAAUGAUGAUGACUUCUAUAAAAUGUUCAUGCAUUAUGCAUUGGGAAGAUCAGACCUCGAUGACAGUGAGCGUCGAAAACUGGAAGAUAUUGGGGCUGAAAUAGCGAAGAAGCUAAAGGGGUUACCUUUAGCGGCGAGAACCGUGGGAGGACAGCUACAUAGAAGAAAAGAUGUUAGGUUCUGGAGGAGUGUCAAAGUUAGGGACCUUUUGAACGAGACGACUAGAGCUCUUUGGUGGAUCUACCAGCAAUUUGAUGAGCAUGUGAGGCAAUGCUUUGCUUAUUGCAGUAUUUUUUCCAAAAGACAUCAUUUCAAACGUGAUGGGUUAGUACAGUUGUGGAUGGCACAAGCGUUUAUAGAGACAACUAAUGCUGCAGAGGAUCUGUAUGAUGUUGGUCAGAAUUACUUUGAUGAAUUAUUGUCAGUCUCAUUUCUGCAAUUAGGAGAGAGACAAGUGGAACAUGGAUGUGAGGUUGAUUACUUCACUGAUCAUGACCUGCUGCAUGAUUUAGCAGAGGAGGCUGCUAGAGGAGAUUGCUUCAGAAUCGAGGAAGGUGUCACAGAAGAAGUUCCUCCAGAUGUUCGUCAUCUAUUCGUCGAGAGUUGUGAUAUAAAGAUGCUUACAGAGAAAAUAUAUGAAUUGCAGAAUUUGCGCACUCUCAUCAUUGAUUGCCAUAUAAAUAUUGGUUCAAGAGAUAAAAAAGUCUUUGAGAGAAUGUUCAGGAGGUUGAAGAAAUUGCGGGUGCUGGUUCUGCGUUUCUCCGCAGAUGAUGGCUAUAUCUUCUCACUUCCAGCAUGUAUUGGUCUGUUAAAGCAUCUAAGGUAUUUUGACUUUAAUGUGGAAGGAAGGGCGAAGCUAAUGCUACCAAACAGUAUUACCAAGCUUUACCACAUCCAGGUGCUAGAUAAUUAUAGUAGCGGUGGUGUGGUUUUUACUGGUAGUAAAAAUAUUAGUCAGCUCAUUAACUUGCGGUGUAUACGCAGCAUGGAAAACUUUCCAGACAUUGGCAGGCUGAAAUGGCUCCAAAAGCUAGUACACUUCAGUAUAAGCAAGACACAGGGGUACGAGCUACGACAAGUGAAGGACCUAAACAAGCUUGAAGGCACGCUAAGUAUCACGGGUCUUGAGAAUGUCCAAAGCAAGGAAGAAUCUAUUGAAGCCAGUCUUGCACACAAGGAGCGGCUGAAAAAACUUGCACUAUCCUGGGAUGACACGAGUUGCAGUCCAGAAGUUGAAGCGGAGGUGCUUGAGGGCCUUUGCCCACCGAAAUAUCUUGAGAGACUGGAAGUUGGGGAUUACCAUGGUUGGACGUACCCAGAUUGGAUGGUGGGUCAGCAGAAUGGCGGCCCAAAGCAUUUGCGUAAUCUUUGGCUCGACAGCUGCAGCCGACUUGAACGGGCUCCUCAACUUUUUGAGGUCUUGGUGCAUCUUCGUUGGUUUAGGCUUGGGUUCAGCAAUUGGCACGCCUUGCCCGAUAAUAUGGAGCGGCUGGCGUCACUCCUGUUACUGGACAUUAAUCGUUGCCCGAAUAUCCAAUCCCUUCCAACACUGCCCUCCUCCCUUGAGAAGUUUUGUCUCACGGCCGGCAACGAGGAGUUCAUGAGGUCAUGCGUAACAAUCGGACAUCUAAACUGGCAAAAGAUUCAGCACAUUCCCGAUAAACUUAUUUUGCCUUUUUAA